RNAcentral lists this ribosomal RNA (260 nucleotides) under Staphylococcus aureus. Its description in RNAcentral is "partial 16S ribosomal RNA". It matches the Rfam family "Bacterial small subunit ribosomal RNA", at positions 1 to 250 of the family's 1533-position model. Lineage: Bacteria; Bacillati; Bacillota; Bacilli; Caryophanales; Staphylococcaceae. The record is from RNAcentral.
UUUAUGGAGAGUUUGAUCCUGGCUCAGGAUGAACGCUGGCGGCGUGCCUAAUACAUGCAAGUCGAGCGAACGGAUGAGAAGCUUGCUUCUCUGAUGUUAGCGGCGGACGGGUGAGUAACACGUGGAUAACCUACCUAUAAGACUGGGAUAACUUCGGGAAACCGGAGCUAAUACCGGAUAAUAUUUUGAGCCGCAUGGUUCAAAAGUGAAAGACGGUCUUGCUGUCACUUAUAGAUGGAUCCGCGCUGCAUUAGCUAGUU